AAUUCGAUUGAGUUUGAUCAUGGCUCAGGAUGAACGCUGGCGGUCUGCUUAACACAUGCAAGUCGAACGGAACUCUUCGGAGUUUAGUGGCGGACGGGUGAGUAACGCGUGAGAAUCUGCCUUCAGGUUGGGGACAACAGUUGGAAACGACUGCUAAUACCCAAUGUGCCGCGAGGUGAAAGCUUUAGUGCCUGAAGAUGAGCUCGCGUCUGAUUAGCUAGUUGGUGAGGUAAUGGCUUACCAAGGCGACGAUCAGUAGCUGGUCUGAGAGGAUGAUCAGCCACACUGGGACUGAGACACGGCCCAGACUCCUACGGGAGGCAGCAGUGGGGAAUUUUCCGCAAUGGGCGCAAGCCUGACGGAGCAAGACCGCGUGAGGGAGGAAGGCUCUUGGGUUGUAAACCUCUUUUAUCAGGGAAGAAGAUCUGACGGUACCUGAUGAAUCAGCAUCGGCUAACUCCGUGCCAGCAGCCGCGGUAAUACGGAGGAUGCAAGCGUUAUCCGGAUUUAUUGGGCGUAAAGCGUCCGCAGGUGGUUUUUCAAGUCUGCUGUUAAAGCGCAGAGCUUAACUCUGUAACGGCGGUGGAAACUGAGAGACUAGAGUAUGGUAGGGGUUGCGGGAAUUCCCAGUGUAGCGGUGAAAUGCGUAGAUAUUGGGAAGAACACCAGCGGCGAAAGCGCGCAACUGGGCCAUUACUGACACUCAUGGACGAAAGCUAGGGGAGCGAAAGGGAUUAGAUACCCCUGUAGUCCUAGCUGUAAACGAUGGGUACUAGGUGUUGACCGUAUCGACCCGG
Molecule: ribosomal RNA, 797 nt
Filed under: uncultured bacterium
Lineage: Bacteria
Description: bacterial SSU rRNA
Rfam family: Bacterial small subunit ribosomal RNA
Source: RNAcentral